GACACCUUUGAGAGUGCCAGGAACUUGGCCAUUGGAAUCGGGAUCCAGAACUUCCCAGAGGGCCUGGCGGUCAGCCUCCCCUUGCGAGGGGCUGGCUUCUCCACCUGGAGGGCCUUCUGGUAAGUGCG
Long non-coding RNA from Myotis brandtii (Brandt's bat), 128 nucleotides. RefSeq lists it as uncharacterized. NCBI's taxonomy places the organism in Eukaryota, Metazoa, Chordata, Mammalia, Chiroptera, Vespertilionidae. The record is from RefSeq and is a predicted model, not a curated record. The transcript is spliced from 3 exons.